This 516-nucleotide ribosomal RNA is filed under the name uncultured bacterium. RNAcentral describes it as "bacterial SSU rRNA". It matches the Rfam family "Bacterial small subunit ribosomal RNA", at positions 28 to 526 of the family's 1533-position model. The record is from RNAcentral.
GACGAACGCUGGCGGCGUGCCUAAUACAUGCAAGUUGAGCGCUGAAGGUUGGUACUUGUACCAACUGGAUGAGCAGCGAACGGGUGAGUAACGCGUGGGUAACCUGCCCAAAAGAAGGGGAUAACAUUUGGAAACAAGUGCUAAUACCGUAUAACCAUGAUGACCGCAUGGUCAUGAUGUAAAAGGUGGUUUUGCUAUCGCUUUUGGAUGGACCCGCGGCGUAUUAACUAGUUGGUAAGGUAACGGCUUACCAAGGUGAUGAUACGUAGCCGAACUGAGAGGUUGAUCGGCCACAAUGGGACUGAGACACGGCCCAUACUCCUACGGGAGGCAGCAGUAGGGAAUCUUCCACAAUGGGCGCAAGCCUGAUGGAGCAACGCCGCGUGAAUGAAGAAGGUCUUCGGAUCGUAAAGUUCUGUUAUUAGAGAAGAACACGUGUAAGAGUAACUGAUUAUGCGUUGACGGUAUCUAAUCAGCAAGUCACGGCUAACUACGUGCCAGCCGCCGCCGUAACAC